CUGCUCUCAAAAUAUUUUUGAGAGCUAAGCAGGAUUCAAAAUUAUUAUCUUUUUUUGAGGAUAAAACAACUAGGAGUGUCUUUCCCCCUUCUCCACUCAGGAAAUUCCUCUUAAUUCCUUACAAUUCAGCUCAUUGUUAAGGACCUCUGGGAUGCAUUGUCAAAUUCCCCUACACAAUCUUCUGAAAGGAAUGAGUCUCUUUCCUGUGUGCUCCCACGACAUUUGGCAUACUCCUCAGUGGCAGUGCUGUCCGGUGGGGUGCUAAUUAUUUGCUUUUCAAGGCUAUUUCCUCAAACUGUGCUUCUCUCCAGAGCAGGGGUCAGGUUUCCUUUAUCUUCGUAGGCUCUUCCCCUCCUCACCCACCUACCUUUACCUCCCUACCUCCAAGUCUAGUUUUAAAGCCUGGCAUAUCAAAGGUACUGAAAGAACAGGAGAAAGAAAUAAAAGAAGGAAAGUUAAGUAGCUUACCCAAAGUCACACAGAAAGUCAGCAUCAGAGUUCUGACAUUUACUGCAGCACUCAAUUCUAAACUAGGCUGUCAUCAGGCUGAUUUGAUGGUUCACAAAGAGUGAUAUAUUUUUAAGAAUGAUUUUACUACUAAAGAAAUGAAGAACAUACAGCCCAGGCCAGUAACUUUUUAAGUAUGAUUAGAUGAUGGCUUAUGGGCUCCAUCUAAGCUUUAAAUCAGGAUCAUUUUCAGGUCUAAUGGAAAUUACAUGGUGGCUUUGGCUUCACAGGGAAGGAACUUGGAGCUAAUCAGCCUCGGGAAUGCCACCAUCUGAGAUGCCAGGGCAAAAACAAAGAAAUGCCAUCGAUUAAGAGUCUCCAUCAAGAAAGUUCCAAGGCUGCGAGGCUGCUGAGAUGAGAUGGGACUGGAAUCCUAGCCACAGGCUUAAUUGCUUUGCAAGAAGCCACAGCUGUUGCUGCAGGGAAGCGCAGGCAAAAUCUUGUUUUCUUACUUUCAACUUUCUGCUGACCUUGUUAGAGAUUGCUUCUGAACUGCCUGAUGCCCAUGCCUAUCUCGAAUGGUAUUUCUUCAGUGUCUCGUGUCUUCUCUUUGCUUUUCCUUCUAUGCCCAGCACUUAAUGUAGUGCCCGAAAUGUAAUACUCACUUGAGAAAUACCUGUUUGAUUAAUUAAGCACAAGAAGAAGAGUUUUAAUACCAAAUGACAGUUCCCUGUCACCCAAGAGCAGUACCCCUUUACUUUUUGAACCAAGAUUCCUCUUAGUCCUUUCACUAGAAUAUAGGAACAUGAAGAAAGGAGAAAUAGCAUAAAAAACAUUGGAAUUUUCUUCAGUCUAUGACUGUGUCUGCAUCAAAAUUUUCCACCCAUAUUCCAUGACCAAAUCAACUGUUUUUGAGACUUCUUUCUUUUCCUCUUGUAAAUGACAAGCAAUCCUUGAAUAACAAAUGACUUAUCCCACAUUUGUAAACUCUC
RNAcentral lists this long non-coding RNA (1439 nucleotides) under Homo sapiens (human). Its description in RNAcentral is "HSALNT0013458". The record is from RNAcentral. Lineage: Eukaryota; Metazoa; Chordata; Mammalia; Primates; Hominidae.